UGAGAACAUAUGGCGUUACAUAAAUUCUAAAGCCUCAUUGGAAAUAUAGAUUGGUAAGGGUACGCACGUAUUUAUUGGAUACACAGCGACACUUCAAAUCCUAGUUUUAGAUAUCAAAAUACUAGUGCAGAGGACAUAAAGUUUGAGACGACACAUACAUUCCUGACCAGGUGUUCUUCUAUAAAACCACCCACAAACACCGAAACAGAUCUGCAAUACAGACACAAAAAAGAAAGGGUAGAAAUAUUCCCUUCGUGUGGCGCUCACCAAGACCAGCAUGGGAAGGGCUGUGUGCUUGAUGGUUAGUCCGUUGCUGGUUCUUCUGAUCAUUUCUUCUAACUCCCUGUCCUGCGAAGCAACGAGUAGGCAUCCCUACUUUUAAUCGCACUUCGUUUUUAGACAUUUUCG
Molecule: long non-coding RNA, 408 nt
Filed under: Setaria viridis
Lineage: Eukaryota; Viridiplantae; Streptophyta; Magnoliopsida; Poales; Poaceae
Description: long non-coding RNA (SVIR_LNC009739)
Source: RNAcentral